Molecule: ribosomal RNA, 434 nt
Filed under: uncultured Lachnospiraceae bacterium
Lineage: Bacteria; Bacillati; Bacillota; Clostridia; Lachnospirales; Lachnospiraceae
Description: partial 16S ribosomal RNA
Rfam family: Bacterial small subunit ribosomal RNA
Source: RNAcentral
ACGGAAGGCAGCAGUGGGGGAUAUUGCACAAUGGGGGAAACCCUGAUGCAGCGACGCCGCGUGAGUGAUGAAGUAUCUCGGUAUGUAAAGCUCUAUCAGCAGGGAAGAAAAUGACGGUACCUGACUAAGAAGCCCCGGCUAACUACGUGCCAGCAGCCGCGGUAAUACGUAGGGGGCAAGCGUUAUCCGGAUUUACUGGGUGUAACGGGAGCGUAGACGGUUUGGCAAGUCUGAAGUGAAAUGCGGGGGCUCAACUCCUGAACUGCUUUGGAAACUGUCGAACUAGAGUGCAGGAGAGGUAAGUGGAAUUCCUAGUGUAGCGGUGAAAUGCGUAGAUAUUAGGAGGAACACCAGUGGCGAAGGCGGCUUACUGGACUGUAACUGACGUUGAGGCUCGAAAGCGUGGGGAGCAAACAGGAUUAGAUACCCUGGUA